This 447-nucleotide ribosomal RNA is filed under the name uncultured bacterium. RNAcentral describes it as "partial 16S ribosomal RNA". It matches the Rfam family "Bacterial small subunit ribosomal RNA", at positions 29 to 523 of the family's 1533-position model. The record is from RNAcentral.
AACGAACGCUGGCGGCAGGCUUAACACAUGCAAGUCGAACGCAUCGCAAGAUGAGUGGCAGACGGGUGAGUAACGCGUGGGAACAUACCCUUUUCUACGGAAUAGCUCUGGGAAACUGGAAUUAAUACCGUAUACGCCCUACGGGGGAAAGAUUUAUCGGGGAAGGAUUGGCCCGCGUUGGAUUAGCUAGUUGGUGGGGUAAAGGCCUACCAAGGCGACGAUCCAUAGCUGGUCUGAGAGGAUGAUCAGCCACAUUGGGACUGAGACACGGCCCAAACUCCUACGGGAGGCAGCAGUGGGGAAUAUUGGACAAUGGGCGCAAGCCUGAUCCAGCCAUGCCGCGUGAGUGAUGAAGGCCUUAGGGUUGUAAAGCCCUUUCACCGCUGAAGAUAAUGACGGUAGUCGGAGAAGAAGCCCCGGCUAACUUCGUGCCAGCAGCCGCCGUAA